GUCGCUGCCAAUUCAGCGGCCGGGUGUGGUAACCCGAGUUAUUCAAGGCGCUACAGCGCCCCCAAUCACGUCAUCAGGCGCUUUUUUU
Molecule: small RNA, 88 nt
Filed under: Pseudomonas fluorescens
Lineage: Bacteria; Pseudomonadati; Pseudomonadota; Gammaproteobacteria; Pseudomonadales; Pseudomonadaceae
Source: RNAcentral